CCUACGAGAGGCCGCAGUGAGGAAUAUUGGUCAAUGGGCGCGAGCCUGAACCAGCCAAGUAGCGUGAAGGAUGACUGCCCUACGGGUUGUAAACUUCUUUUAUAAAGGAAUAAAGUGAGUCACGUGUGCCUUUUUGUAUGUACUUUAUGAAUAAGGAUCGGCUAACUCCGUGCCAGCAGCCGCGGUUAUACGGCGGAUCCGAGCGUUAUCCGGUUUUAUUGUGUUUAAAGGGAGCGUAGAUGGGUUGUUAAGUCAGUUGUUAAAGUCUGCGGCUCAACCGUAAAAUUGCAAUUGAUACUGGCAGUCUUGAGUACAGUUGAGGUAGGCGGAAUUCGUGGUGUAGCGGUGAAAUGCUUAGAUAUCACGAAGAACUCCGAUUGCGAAGGCAGCUUACUAAACUGCAACUGACAUUGAUGCUCGAAAGUGUGGGUAUCAAACAGGAUUAGAUACCCUAGUAGUC
This 460-nucleotide ribosomal RNA is filed under the name uncultured bacterium. Its description in RNAcentral is "partial 16S ribosomal RNA". It matches the Rfam family "Bacterial small subunit ribosomal RNA", at positions 338 to 795 of the family's 1533-position model. The record is from RNAcentral.